This 207-nucleotide ribosomal RNA is filed under the name uncultured bacterium. Its description in RNAcentral is "partial 16S ribosomal RNA". It matches the Rfam family "Bacterial small subunit ribosomal RNA", at positions 568 to 774 of the family's 1533-position model. The record is from RNAcentral.
UGCGCAGGCGGAUAGAUGUGUCAGGUGUGAAAUCUCGGGGCUCAACCUCGAAACUGCGCCUGAAACUGUCUAUCUAGAGUAUUGGAGGGGUAAGCGGAAUUUCCGGUGUAGCGGUGAAAUGCGUAGAUAUCGGAAGGAACACCAAUGGCGAAGGCAGCUUACUGGACAAUAACUGACGCUCAGGCACGAAAGCAUGGGUAGCGAAAG